CUACGGGUUGCACCAGUGGGGAAUCUUCCGCAAUGGGCGCAAGCCUGACGGAGCAACGCCGCGUGAGUGAAGAAGGCCUUCGGGUCGUAAAGCUCUGUCUUUAGGGAAGAAAAACUAUGGUGAAAAUAUUGCCAUAGUCUGACGGUACCUGAGGAGGAAGCUCCGGCUAACUACGUGCCAGCAGCCGCGGUAAUACGUAGGGAGCGAGCGUUGUCCGGAAUUACUGGGCGUAAAGGGCGUGUAGGCGGGAAUUUAAGUAAGGUGUGAAAACUCCGGGCUCAACUUGGAGACUGCACUUUAAACUGGAUUUCUUGAGGGCAGGAGAGGAAAGUGGAAUUCCUAGUGUAGCGGUGAAAUGCGUAGAUAUUAGGAGGAACAUCAGUGGCGAAGGCGACUUUCUGGACUGCACCUGACGCUGAGGCGCGAAAGCAUGGGUAGCGAACAGGAUUAGAUACCCGGGUAGUC
RNAcentral lists this ribosomal RNA (465 nucleotides) under uncultured bacterium. Its description in RNAcentral is "partial 16S ribosomal RNA". It matches the Rfam family "Bacterial small subunit ribosomal RNA", at positions 339 to 795 of the family's 1533-position model. The record is from RNAcentral.